This is a non-coding RNA of Nylanderia fulva, 317 nucleotides long. The record is from RefSeq and is a predicted model, not a curated record. Lineage: Eukaryota; Metazoa; Arthropoda; Insecta; Hymenoptera; Formicidae.
UUUUUGGACUUAAAACCAAAACAUGUUGAUAUACCUGCAGCAUUUAUUAUUAUCAUUAAUAAUGUAUAUUCCGUAAAUCAAACUCAGGAAAUAAACAGAUACGUUCAAUGGUUGAAAUACUAUAGAGACAUAUUUGUUAAAAAGGAAGAAAGGGAUAUUAUAACGCAGACUUCUGGCAAAAUUGAAAGCAAAAUAUCAAUUCGCAACAGUCAAAUCGAAAACAAAAACGGUAUUUUGAUAGUAUUUUCUAUUGGUAAAUGUAAAAAAUUGCAGCUUUACAUUGUGUGCGUGGAUAUACCUCAUAUUAAUAAUUUUUA